GUCUGAGCUUGUGGGCUCACUUUCAGUUCCUUGCAUUUCUAUUCUGUAUUUAUUUGGCAGUGAAAUGAAAAUGUCUAUAGGUAUUGACACCAAAAAUUCUGUCUUUUACUCCCUCGAAGACAAGGCGUGAGAGGUGAUUUAGCUAAUCUGGCCCAUAGCAAAAAACAAAAACGAAAAACCGCUUCAAACCCGGCCUGAUUCUUCCCUUCUUUCCCGAUAAUCUUCCGUUGGCCGCCACCAAAAGGACCACCGCCAAUGCAGCGGCUACACCAACCACCAUUGCACGUUGUUUCAUUCCAUAACCAAUAAAGAACUUCAUAUGUGUACAAUUAAAUUCACCCACCUCUACAAACGCUUCUUUGAUUCUUCUUCAACCGUUAACAUAGCGUCCAACUAUCUUCACAAUCACAUCAAUUCUUUCCUCUCCAACCGUGUCUUAGAUUUCAACACCCUUCUCCAAAUCCACGCAUAUAUCAUAACAACUGGUAACACAAACAACAUCUUCAUAGCGUCAAAGCUGAUAGCGCACUAUGCUUCACUCAACCAGCCCCAUUCUUCCGCCAAAAUCUUUGAUUCCCUCAGUUUCAAAGACCCUUUUCUUUGGAACUCAGUAAUUAAAGCCCAUUUUUCCAAUGGAAGGUAUGCAGAGGCGCUUGAUUUUUUCUCCGAGAUGUGGUUUUGUGACAAGUUACCUAAUCAAUUUACUAUCCCCAUCGUUGUUUCAGCCUGUGCUGAAGUUGGGUUAUUGUGUUUUGGAAUGAGUAUUCAUGGAUUGAUUACAAAAUUAAAUAUUUUUUGUGGAAAUUCAGCUGUUGGGUCUUCAUUUGUGUAUAUGUAUUCUAAAUGUGGGUCUAUGGAGGAUGCGGCUGGUGUGUUUGAUGAGAUUACGAUGAAAGAUGUGGUUGCUUGGACCGCGCUUGUCAUUGGAUAUGUGCAGAAUGGUGAGAGUGAGAAGGCUAUGGAAUGCCUUUCUGAGAUGCAUAGGAUUGGUGGCAAUAGCGAGAGGCUGAAUUUUCGGACAUUGGAAGGUGGCUUCCAAGCCUGUGGGAAUUUGGGUGCAUUGGUAGAAGGCAGAUGCUUGCACGGGUUGGCAGUAAAGUCUGGGAUUGUGUCGUCACAUAUUGUUCAAUCUUCGAUUUUGUCAAUGUAUUCGAAGUGUGAGACAGUUAAGGAUGCCCACCUUUUGUUUGAGGAAAUUGUCGUUAAGGAUCUAUAUUCAUGGACAGCUAUUAUUGAUGUUUAUGCAAAAUUGGGGUAUUUUUAUGAGUGCUUUAAUAUGUUUUUUAAGAUGAAAGCUGAUGGGAUACAUCCGGAUGGGGUGGUAAUCAGUUGUUUGCUUUUAAGUUUUCCUAGUUCCAAGAAGUUGUAUGAAGGGAAGGCGUUUCAUGGUUUUAUCUUGAGGAGAUAUUAUGAAGUCGAUAAGAUUGUUUAUAAUGCAUUGUUGUCUAUGUAUUGUAAUAUUGGAGUCUUGGCUCCAGCUGAAAAGCUCUUUAAUGGAGGAUGUGGUCAGGAUGAGAACUCUUGGAACACGAUGAUUGUUGCCUAUGGCAAGGCAGGAUUAGAGAUGAAGAGCAUAAACUUGUUUCGAGAAAUGCAGCAUCUAGGUAUCAAAGUUGAUUUGAACAGCCUAAUAUCAGUUAUUUCUUCCUGUUCUAAACUGGAAACAAACAAAUUCGGUCGAUCUCUUCAUUGCCACGUUAUUAAACAUUCAGUAUGCAAGAUUGUUUCGGUUGUCAAUGCACUUAUAAUUAUGUAUGGUAAGUGUGGGAAUUUGACCAUAGCAAGGAGGUUAUUUUAUCGGACGAACAAAGAUAUUGCCACAUGGAAUAGUUUGAUUUCAUCUUAUGUUCAUAAUGGACACUCUUCUGAGGCUUUAGCUCUAUUUAACAAAAUGGUUUCUGAAGGCAUCAAGCCUAACAAUACAACACUAUUAAUUUUGCUCUCUGCUUGUGGCCAAAUCGCAUCGGUUAAAAAAGGAAAAGAAAUUCAUGAUUAUAUUAGGGAAGAAGGAUUUGAGUAUAAUAUUGCUGUUGCUACUGCAUUGAUUGAUAUGUAUGCAAAAUGUGGGCAACUCAAAAUUGCAAGAGAAAUCUUUGACUCAAUGAAUGAGAAGGAUGUUAUUUCUUGGAACGUGAUGAUUUCCAGUUACGGAAUGCAUGGAGAUGGAAAAUCUGCAAUGGAGAUUUUCCAACAGAUGGAACAAUCUAAUACUAGGCCUAAUGACCUUACCUUUCUCGCGGCUCUCUCUGCUUGCGCACAUGCUGGAUUUGUUGAAGAAGGCAAGUCUCUCUUUCGUAAAAUAAAAGAAUAUUCUGUGAGACCCACACUGAAGCACUAUACUUGUAUGGUAGAUCUUCUUGGUCGGUCAGGUCGUUUGGCCGAGGCUGAAGCUUUUGCUUUGUCAAUGCCUAUUUCUCCUGAUGGGGGCAUAUGGGGUGCUUUAUUAACUGCUUGCAAAAUGCACAAUAAUACUGAGAUGGGUAUAAGGACUGCCAAGAAUGCUAUUGAGGCUGACCCAGAUAACGAUGGAUAUUACAUAACAAUAUCGGACCUGUAUAGUUCUGUGGGGAUGUGGGCAGAGGUAGAAAAAGUGAGACAAAUCAUGAAGAAAAGGGGGGUGAGAAAGAGAGCUGGUUGGAGUACAAUAUAACAAGGAUACAUCUCAACCGUUCUACUGUUGGAACACAACUUCUGGAUUCUGGAACCUGCUAGACAUAUGCACUAAUGCCUUCCGAUGGCUUUCAGGUAAUAAUUUGAAACUUGGAUCAAGUCCUUAUUUUAAAGCCUACUUUGUAUAGUUUGUAUCAGGCUUUUAGGCAGGCUAUUAUAUUCUACUGGACGAAAAAGGGUUUCUUUUAAGACAUUCUCAGUUAACACUUGAGCUUUUCCACAAACUACAAAUAUCUGAUGUUGCAGUGCCUUUAUAUGUGGGAAUUUUCUAACUGAUGCAAGUUUCAAAAUUUGGGUUAAACUCUAUAAUGCUCGGACUCGGGUACAGGUACGUAUCUAAGUGUAGGAUAUUUUAUUUUCUUAAAUGUAUGAUACGGGGAUAUGACUAAAAAGAGUCCAAAUUUAGGACAUGGGUACGUGGGUAUAUCUUUCAAACUUCAAUUUUUGUACAAAUGCAAGACGUCAUUUUGAAUAAACCAAAAUCAAUUAUUGACUAAGGAAAUAGAUAUUGAGGAAGGAGUUAAGACGAAUAAAAUAUAAUUUUACAAUUUAGUUUUCAAUUAUGGACAUUACUAAAUGUUAUAUAAAAUAGCAAAUAAUGGACAUAAUUGCAAUUUGGACUUAGUAGAGAACUAAGAAACACUAUAUGGAAUCUAUUUUCAUUUUAUACAAACAAAACUCUAAACUACCGAUACAGAGAAUGAAGGAAGGAAAAAAAUAAGAAAGAGAAGGGAAAACUUAAUGCCGCUACCUUUCUCCACCCUUUCGAUGGAGACGCUAGGUGCGUAGAGAGCGGAAAUGGGAAAGAUAAGGAGAAGAAAAAAAGGAAGAAGAAGCGAAAGCAAUGAAGUGUCCGAUUGAAAAUUGGAGGAUCUGACACAUAUCUCAUACCCAUACCCAUGUCGUGUUGUGUCCGACAUGGGUACUCCGACUAUUUUGAAGAGUCCGAGCAUCAGAGGUUAAACUGAAGUCGGGAGAAUUCUGUUGUAAAAUUUCAGUGUAACCAUACAAACUUUAUUUGGAUACUUGAUAUCGGCAAAAAAGUUCUUUAUAUAGAUUAUGAGGGACAGUAAGACAUAUAGAAAAUUUUGGAAAGAACAGGUAUAAUUGAAAAGGAGAGAAAUCCCACACGAAUAUCAAAAGACCAAUGAAUAUAAUUUACAUAGAGGGAAUUGGCUUUAUAUAGGAAAAAUACAUGGGAUGUAAGAAGAGAAAAGUUUCACCCAAGAUUAUGUGUCUGAUCUGUGACAUGGUUAUAGAUUAUACUAUUAUACACACUAAAGGCCAGUUCUGUGGGCGAAUACUGCUGAUGCUACAACUUAAGGCCAAAAAUAGUCUUUUGUGGUUCCAUCAUCUUGCAUGAGGUUUUGAAUCUUCUCCCACCUCUUUACUAGCAAAACAAUCCCAAAUGCAGCAUAAGUUCAUGAUACUUGUAGAUUACUUGUCGUGGAUAAAUAUGUUGAUUCCUGGAUAUAUGGAUGUCAAUAGAGCUUGAUUGUUUCUAGAAUCAUUUAAAUUUGUAGCCUUCUAAGUUUAUUAUCUUACAUUCAGAGGUAAGAUCCUACAUUCACAGUUAAGCUUGAUCAUCCAUGUACACUGAUGGCACACACAGAAACUUGGUAUAAUCCAUGUACUGUCAUAUUAAUGAGUUGAUGAUCUAGCGUUUCAUACAUGAAAAGAUAUUUUCAAUGAGAAGGACGGGACUACUUUGCUUUUUGCUUUUCUUCAGGACAUUUUGCACGAGCAGAAGUACCCGAUUUUACUAUUUGAGAAUUGGGUCACCGCGGCAGAGCUGCAAUCGAAAUAGUGAUUCUUUGGCCAGGUUUUCUUCGUGCCUUCAGAUCCAUUCAUUGGAGAAUGAAUCAUCGCUGCAGGAUUAGUUCGUAAGUUUUGGAAUAAGUUCUUUCAAAAUUGAUGACUUGUUUGGUUCAUAAUCUAGCACUUCAUACUUGUGACACUGUAUAUCUUUUAGAGUUUCUCUUCUAUUUCUGGCAUGUUUGGUUCAUUUUAAUCCCUUAAGCAAUAAAUAACAUGCAUUCAACCUUUAGGUGUUACACAGGUGUUCCUUUUGGGCAUACUUCAUGUCUUGGAUGUUUCUGUAUGUGAAACUCUAACUGAUAUUAAAGAUAAAUGCUAUAUUAUUUUUCUUUUUCGAAUACUUCAUAGUUUCUGCUGUGUUACCAAAAGUUACAGCUUGGCAUCCAAAAUGUACAACUUUUAACAUAGUGAUAACAGUAUAUAUAUUAUCAGCAGACUAUUUUCUCUUCCAGUUUGCAAGAUUCAACCUUGUUCUGGCACCAGAACUCGCUAGUAAACCACACAUCCAGUGGCGGAUCUAGGAGGUGGCGAGCUGGAUCCGCCGGAAGCAAUUUUUUUGGGCUGACAAUAGAUUAAGGUUUUAGUUUAUAUUACUGAUAAUUCUUUCUUCUUUCAAACUUCUCUUCUGGCUGAAAUGGUUAGAGCUUACAUUUAAAUUUUGCAAGAGUCGGCUUCGAAUCCCUUCACAGCCAAUUUAUUGUGCAAAUUUUUUAGUUUUACAAUUUCUACCAAAAUUAAUGCAAUAGAAAAGAGUUGGAUGAAAUUUGAACCAUGAACCCCUAUUCUGAUCAUUGAAAGCCUCACCACUCUAGCAUCCAUUGCUUUUGACACUUGAUUCAACAAAAUAAUAUAUAUUACAUUUAUUGGGUUUAAUAAAAUUAUAAAGAUUCAAAAUCAUGCUCUUCCUUUAAAUUAUAUGAAACUAGACAAUAAUGUCAUUUGGUGAAUAUACAGUUUAUUCUUAUAACAGAAUUAUAUAUGUUCAAUAUGAACAAAAUAAUUGUUAUAUUUAAAUUUUAGGCCUUGUUUUAUUUUCGUUUUGUUUUUUCAAAAUGCAUUUCUAUUUAUCUUAUUUUUAACCAUGCAUUCUUCAAUAAAGUUACGCUCAAAUUCAAAACUUUUUUCCUUAUUUUUAACCUCACGUUCUCCAUGAAAUCACUAUUUAGAAAUGCAUUUUUUGUUUAAAAAAAAAAAAGAUAUCAAACGGGCUCUUAAUACUUUAUUGUAGCUGACGGUCGACAAUCAACGGCCACUCGUGCUGAUUCAAAAUCCUAGAUUCGUCACUGCACACAUCCCAUCUUGCUUCUCUAUUCUCAUCCAUAGCAUUGGUGCCAUUGCAAUUUUGCAAGAGAAUGAAUAUACUUCACAAUUCACGUAUAUCGUCCAAGUCCAACAUCAAUGCAUCAGGCUUACCAUUCUAUUAUGAGUCAUACACCAGCAGGCCAAGUGAGUACUGAGGCUUUCUGUGCUUAACAUGUGAUGACGAACAUGGAAGCUCACAGGGAAAAAGAAUUGAGAAGGUGGGCCUGAACUACAAUGACUUCGCUGCAUACAGUUUCACUGUGCAGUGGAGAAAGUGGUGAUAGAGUAUGCUGAGUGUGUUGGAUAAGGAUCUCGACAAUGUUUAAAUCGAAGAGUUUCAAGGAAGCUAUAGUUAUCUUGUCAGCUCAAGCCCUGGAAAGUUGUGGGAGCUGAUAUGAGACUUUUGUUUCAUAAACCAGGUGAGAAUAUGGCAUCAUUUUCUUGUAGAUUUUAUUGAUUCAUAUGCUUAAAUUUUCGUUGAUGUUUUAUUUAUACUGAUUAAUGAAUUUGGUGCUGUUUUUGGAACAAGAGGGAUGAAUGGAUUGAUACAAAAGAUGUUUUAGAAGUACUGACUAG
RNAcentral lists this long non-coding RNA (6366 nucleotides) under Olea europaea subsp. europaea. The record is from RNAcentral. Lineage: Eukaryota; Viridiplantae; Streptophyta; Magnoliopsida; Lamiales; Oleaceae.